UAGGGAAUCUUCCGCAAUGGACGAAAGUCUGACGGAGCAACGCCGCGUGAGUGAUGAAGGUUUUCGGAUCGUAAAACUCUGUUCUUAGGGAAGAACAAAUGCGUAAGUAACUGUGCGCAUCUUGACGGUACCUAAUCAGAAAGCCACGGCUAACUACGUGCCAGCAGCCGCGGUAAUACGUAGGUGGCAAGCGUUAUCCGGAAUUAUUGGGCGUAAAGCGCGCGUAGGCGGUUUCUUAAGUCUGAUGUGAAAGCCCACGGCUCAACCGUGGAGGGUCAUUGGAAACUGGGAAACUUGAGUACAGAAGAGGAAAGUGGAAUUCCAUGUGUAGCGGUGAAAUGCGCAGAGAUAUGGAGGAACACCAGUGGCGAAGGCGACUUUCUGGUCUGUAACUGACGCUGAUGUGCGAAAGCGUGGGGAUCAAACA
This 427-nucleotide ribosomal RNA is filed under the name uncultured bacterium. RNAcentral describes it as "partial 16S ribosomal RNA". It matches the Rfam family "Bacterial small subunit ribosomal RNA", at positions 355 to 774 of the family's 1533-position model. The record is from RNAcentral.